CGCGUGCACUGGUGCGGCCGGAUCUUUCCUUCUGGCUAACCUCAUGCCCUUUACUGGGUGUGCUGGGGAUCCAGGACUUUUACUUUGAAAAAAUUAGAGUGUUCAAAGUAGGCCUUUGCUCGAAUACAUUAGCAUGGAAUAAUAGAAUAGGACGGCGGUUCUAUUUUGUUGGUUUCUAGAGCCACCGUAAUGAUUAAUAGGGAUAGUCGGGGGCAUCAGUAUUCAGUUGUCAGAGGUGAAAUUCUUGGAUUUACUGAAGACUAACUACUGCGAAAGCAUUUGCCAAGGAUGUUUUCAUUAAUCAGUGAACGAAAGUUAGGGGAUCGAAGACGAUCAGAUACCGUCGUAGUCUUAACCAUAAACUAUGCCGACUAGGGAUCGGGCGGUGCUCAACUUAUGACCCGCUCGGCACCUUACGAGAAAUCAAAGUUUUUGGGUUCUGGGGGGAGUAUGGUCGCAAGGCUGAAACUUAAAGGAAUUGACGGAAGGGCACCACCAGAUGUGGAGCCUGCGGCUUAAUUUGACUCAACACGGGGAAACUCACCAGGUCCAGACACAUUAAGGAUUGACAGAUUGAGAGCUCUUUCUUGAUUAUGUGGGUGGUGGUGCAUGGCCGUUCUUAGUUGGUGGAGUGAUUUGUCUGCUUAAUUGCGAUAACGAACGAGACCUUAACCUGCUAAAUAGCCAGGCUAGCUUUUGCUGGUCGCCGGCUUCUUAGAGGGACUAUCGG
This 730-nucleotide ribosomal RNA is filed under the name uncultured eukaryote. RNAcentral's name for it is "SSU rRNA". It matches the Rfam family "Eukaryotic small subunit ribosomal RNA", at positions 672 to 1426 of the family's 1831-position model. The record is from RNAcentral.